UGCGGCAUCACUAUACGAGGCUUAAAGUCCUGUAAUUGGAAUGACGGAAAUUUAAGCUCUUUCCGGAGUAUCAAUUGGAGGGCAAGUCUGGUGCCAGCAGCCGCGGUAAUUCCAGCUCCAAUAGCGUAUAUUAAACUUGUUGCAGUUAAAAAGCUCGUAGUUGAAUUUCUGCUGCAUCAUUUAUAUUCCUUAAUCGGUUUAUUCAUGUUGUGGCUUUUUCUGGUGAUUAUACUUCGGUAUUAUUAUCCAGAUUGUUACUUUGAGAAAAUUAGAGUGCUUAAAGCAGGCAUUUGCCUUGAAUACUUUAGCAUGGAAUAACUAAGUAGGACUUUGGUUCUAUUUUGUUGGUUUAAGAGCCAAAGUAAUGAUUAAUAGGAACAGUUGGGGCUUUCCCGUAUUUAAAA
RNAcentral lists this ribosomal RNA (404 nucleotides) under Cytauxzoon felis. RNAcentral describes it as "bacterial SSU rRNA". It matches the Rfam family "Eukaryotic small subunit ribosomal RNA", at positions 471 to 903 of the family's 1831-position model. The record is from RNAcentral. Lineage: Eukaryota; Apicomplexa; Aconoidasida; Piroplasmida; Theileriidae.